RNAcentral lists this ribosomal RNA (398 nucleotides) under uncultured soil bacterium. RNAcentral describes it as "bacterial SSU rRNA". It matches the Rfam family "Bacterial small subunit ribosomal RNA", at positions 26 to 430 of the family's 1533-position model. The record is from RNAcentral.
AGGACGAACGCUGGCGGCGUGCUUAACACAUGCAAGUCGAGCGGAAAGGCCUUUCGGGGUACUCGAGCGGCGAACGGGUGAGUAACACGUGAGUAAUCUGCCCAUCGCUUCAGGAUAGCCAUCGGAAACGGUGAUUAAUACUGGAUAUGACAUUCCUUCGCAUGUUGGGGUGUGGAAAGUUUUUUCGGCGGUGGAUGUGCUCGCGGCCUAUCAGCUUGUUGGUGGGGUAAUGGCCUACCAAGGCUUUGACGGUAGCCGGCCUGAGAGGGUGACCGGCCACACUGGGACUGAGACACGGCCCAGACUCCUACGGGAGCAGCAGUGGGGAAUAUUGACAAUGGGCGGAAGCCUGAUCCAGCAACGCCGCGUGAGGGAUGACGGCCGUUCGGGUUGUAACC